Molecule: RNA transcript, 13976 nt
Organism: Cuculus canorus (common cuckoo)
Lineage: Eukaryota; Metazoa; Chordata; Aves; Cuculiformes; Cuculidae
Gene name: 3'-5' RNA helicase YTHDC2-like
Exons: 3
Source: RefSeq, a predicted model, not a curated record
CAAAAGAAGCCAGAAAUAUUACGUGGGGAUGCCAGGAAACUUGGUUUGGUUUUUUUUUAAUUUAGGGUAUGUUUUCUGUAGGAGACUGGAAUUUUAUUUUUUUUUUUAGUAAUUAGGAUAAUAAAUUCCUUUCCUGAUUACAUGUGUUGCUUUACAACAAGCAUUUGCAUGCAGGUAGCUCAAAUUAGUCUCAGGAUUCAAAGUAAUCAUACAGCAUUCGUUUAAUCAAUGAACGAACCUCUUGCUGGGGUGAUUCCCUCUGCCUCCCUCCUUCCCUCUCCCUUCUUUCAGUCUGCGACAGAAGAGGCUGUUCAAGGUUUUACAGUGCAGCAAACACUAUCACGAAGAAGCAGACAAUUGAUAAGAGGUUGCCUGGGAAACCCUAUGCCCAUAGAUUUUCCUUUUGCUGCAGUAUACACUCCUAGGUGCAAUUAUUUAAAAUUUGAAAAAAAAAACCAACCCACACCUCCUUUGGAAUCUAUGAAGUGAUGGGGGAAUUAUGUUAAAAUUCUCCAGAGAAUCUAAUCCUACUUUCUCGUUUGAUUUAUGAUCGUCUUUAACAGUGGGGGAGUGGUGGGGGUUUUCUUUUUGCAAAAUAGUUGCGGCAAUAGAAAUUCUGCUUGAGAAAGCAAUAUGGAAAUAUGCUGGUGACUGCUUUAAAUGCAGGUCACGUAUGACAUAAUCCGCCUGCCAGUGGAAAAACCCCACCAGCUCUUGAGAGAGAGCCCUGCUCUGAUCAGCAUGAGUAGAUUAUUCCUUCAGCUUUAAUAAUUCAAACUCCCUGUCUGCCUUACAGGGAGUUUUCCUCUUGCCUGGAAGACACAUGAUGCUGACUGGGGAGAUCCCCAGUCUGCUUCUUGUGUUUUUAACGAUAAGUUUGUUCUUGAAACUACCAUCUCAAGGAAAAAAGAAAAAGCAUUUUUAUGCUUUUCUUUUUAAGAAGACAAUCCAUAGGGGAUCUAAAAGAUUUAUGUGAACUUGCACUCUCCGGUUACUUAUUUUUUUUUCCCCAAGUAAGAGAAUAAUUAGGUUGGACUGUUUAACUUGUGCUAAUAGUGAAAGAUUAAUCAAAAUCAUAAUUAGCCUGUGUUUCCUGCCUCGGUACCCUGAGCUUCAUUAAUACCUGUCGUGUACCCAAUGUGUUUUCUUGAUAAAAGAUUUGAUGCUAGAGUGUUAAAAAAGAAAGAAAUGCAAUUUGCUGAGUUUUGUGUGUGUGUUUCUGUGUGGUUGUUGUGGGAACAUUUUGCUGAGCUUCAUGCUGUGGGAUUUUGGUUCUUAUGACCCAGGUAUAAAUAGUGAAACCUCAGCGAGCCCCGCAGUCUAUCAGUAGCCUCCGUCCUUCUUGCGUCAGGAUGUGGCUCUCCCGCCGGGCUGGCUGAGGUGUGGCAGCUGCAACGCAUUCCUGUGCUGGUCGGGGCGGUGACACAGCAUCCUCCUGACUGCACACCCUUGAAAAUUUUCCAUCUGAGCAUGGGCCCCACCGUCCUGGGCAACCUUCCACUCUGAGCGGCUGGUGUCAGAGCUUCCUCAAGGAGAAACUUGCCAAAGAUGGUCCUGCCACAUCUCUGCUUUUGCAUGCCUCUACUGUAGAUAUUCACAUCAGGGCUUCCAUGUUGCUGUUAAGAAGACCCCUGUCCUCCUUUUUUCUCUAUUGAGACUCUUCACCCCGCCACCACCUUUCUGCUCUUCUCGUACUUGCAGUCUUGUCUUUCAUCCACAACCCUCAAUAAUGGGAUCUGGGUCUCACCCCUUCUUCCAGGACGGUAAGUGAAUUUUCUCACUGGAGAACCGUUGGGUCUAAGGCCCUUAAAUGUCAAGGUAACGUGCAGCAAUAGACUUUGUGAAACCCUGAAGAUAAGUGUUCCAGCAGCCUUUACUGUUAUCUGAUUGUGAAGCCAGUCAAGCCUCGGUAAUCUUUAGCUACUCUAUUUAAAAAAGAAUUAUAGCACUGUGCUAGCUGGGUUGAAGCUCAGAUGGUGAAUUUCUCUCUGUUUAAAAGGCCAACAACUAUAAGAUCUUGGAAACCCACAUGGUAAUUCAGAUUGUCUCAAAAUUUGCUCUUUCUCUGAAGACAGAAGGUAAGGCAAUCACUGAGAUUUGGGCACUCUGAAGCUUGCAGCCUGCCCAGGUCGCGGUCCCGAUCUCACAGCUCCUUUUGUUUUGUGUGCAUGCUGAAGCCUAAACCUGCUGUUUGGCUUAUCCUCGACUGAAUCUGAGUUACUGGAGAUUUACGUCAUGUCUGACAUCCUUUGGCAGGAGCAGUGCAGCGUUAAAGGUAAUUAAGGAUAACAUUCGUAACACCAAAUCAGGAUGAGAAAAACUGGGAGAGAAGAAUGAGUGUGUGCAGCAAAAUUAGGUGAAUAUAAGGAUGUGUUGUCAGCAUCUUACUACAGACCUGAACAUCUCUAGGCAACUUGAUGUAAUCACAAAACCUGAGCUGCGUUUGUGCUUUGUGAAUUUAAAUCUUAUGUUGUCAACUUUCUGUUAACUUGUGUAGUGAACUGCACCAGCUGAGGUUCUGGGAUGAACACAGCACUCCAAUAUACUCUGCAACCCACGGACUCACCCUGGUUACGUUACUGAGGGAUGUGGGCACUGACAGUAACUCCACACGUGAAUGGUGCAGAUAUUUGUUAUGGUCUGUGCCUUUCUUAUUGCAUGAGCUACACACAUCCCAGUAUCAGUAGCCCAGUGUCACUCAGUGCUUUGUGACUCAGCAAAGAAAGAAAUAGCUCCAAACAUGGCUAUGUAUGGAUUUUCCAACUAGUUCCAUGCUACUUCCCAUUCCUGCUCCUCGGAGCUUUCUUUUUAAUGUGACAGAUGAGUGGGAGACAAGAGGUGAGGCUGGUGGAAAUUCUCUUUCAUGUGUUUCUCUUGUCUAAGUAGGCCAAUUGACAUCAUGAUUAUUUCUUUCAUCAGUUGAGGAACCUCCUGUCCUACAACAGUGACAAAUAAAAAGAAAACAUCUUUUCUCCAUUGCUGUCUUUCUCAUAUGGGUAGAUAAAAGAAGUAGUAUUUGUUUUAAUAUAUUCCUUUAUCUGAGCGGGGACUUCAAAGAAGCUGCAUGUGUUGCUGUUAUAUAAAACAGAUAAUAGUAUUAAUCAGAUACAUUUCACCUCACAACAGCUGCAACAUCAUAUUAAAGGUGGGAAAGGACUGUAAUACAGUAAAUAUUUGCCCCAAAUGCAAAGCACCAGUCUGAUUAUCGCAGCUCUUUCUCUCCUAAUCAUGAUCAUAAUUUCUUUUUCCUCCUUUGUCUCAUUUGAACUGCCAUACUAGCAAAAACAAAGGGACAGCUAAUUCCUAGAAAGAAAGCCACUGAUUCCUAUCAUCCAGAGGAAGAGACAACAUGGUUGAUGACCUUGUGCGGUCAGAGGCAACGCAAACCCGUUUGCAGUGAAGAACAGAAACCUGAAUAAGAGGUGGUUCAUCAUCUGUGUUGUCUGGAAAGUUUGUCACAAGAAAAAAUUAUGCAAGAGCAAUUGACCAUGUGAAGGGAGAACAAUCCAGGGCUUCAUGACAGUGUUACUCUCAGUUUAGCUGGUAUUGCUUAUAUUGGCUUAUUAGCUCCAUUUAAGCUUAAAGAAGGCUAAAAAGAGACUUCACUGGAGCUCUGCACAAACAAGAGAGUUGUCCUAUGUAACUUCAACUAAGUUAUGAAAUUGAUAAAAAAAAAAUCACCUUUUUUAAUUCCUGUUCUUUUGAGUAGUGCUGCACUUCAGGGUUUGAGUUAUGUUACUAUUUGGGUAAUUUUCAACUUUCAUAUAACAAAUUCAUAUUGGUAUGUGAUCAGAUGCUGCAAUCUGUGGAAAAAACACUGCCCAUUUUUUUUUUUUUGCUUUGGCAUUUCCCUGUUUUUAUAAUCAGGACAGUCUAUGACUUUAAUGGCCUGCUCUUUAAUUAUGCUCUGGGGAAAAAAUAAAGUAAUUUUCUUUUCCUACAGCUAUUACUUGUAAAUUUCACUGGAUGUCUCCCAAACUGUAUGCUUAUCAAAACACUUAGCUACUUGUUUAUCUCUUGUUGUCUUCAUGUACUAUUUCUCUCCCUCAACAUAUCCUGAUCUCUUUACCUUUCCUUUUUUCAGGAGCCAUUCUGCAGCGCCGACCAACCAUGCCACCUUCUGCUCUACUUCUUCAAGUUCUGCAAUAGCCCUUUGAAACAAAGAUCUGCUUUCUGAUAUUUUUGAGGUUAAAUUAGAUUAUUUUUUGUAAUUAGAUGAAGCUGCAUGAAAGAUCUGUUGGGGGCAGAAAGCUGUUUUCUGCUCUGUUCUUGAUUUCUACCCUAGUAAGUCUUAAUACUCAUUAAGGACAGGCCUAUGCCCCUAAUGUUUUAUUUGCAUUUUUGACCGCUGUUAGGUGUGGUUCUUAUGUUUACACGGAACUGCCUCAAAUGGCUCUAAGCUUCUUCCUGAGCAAUAAUAGCUAAGAUAAAACCUAUAACUGGAUAUGUUUGCCAUUAAAGUCUCCACUCUUCCCAUAUGUGAUGUUUUGCAUUUGUUGAUGCAGAACAUCACCUACUAUUUUAUUACGAGUAAAUACACUUGAGAUAGUGAUACCCAUCUUCAACGCUUCUCUGUUACUUCUCACUCUGAUUCCCCUGAAGAAAUUCUGUUUUCAGUAGACUUCACUAUUCCACCAUGUUUUUCAUUUCCUUUUCCACAUCAGAAGAAUGUAGCAGUAUGCAUGUGGCUGACCCUGUCGUGAGACAAAAGUGAACCAGAUAAUCUCUUGGUAUCUCCUGUUGAGUCCAUGCUUAAGAAUUACAGCUUCAACCCCAGAAUGCACCCAUUAAUGGUAAGACAUUUGGUUCCACUGUUUUUUACAGUGGAAAUGACUGUUUUUUUCCUCUAAAUCCAGUCAUUUAGGAGGUCCAAACUGUAGACCUUCUGUUGUGGUCUGACGUUAUUCAGUCAUCUUGGCAGUAGUCGAAGCCUCUGCAUGUUACUGUGUUUCCUACUGCUGUAAUCUAUCCGGUAUUUCAAGGUCAGCCCCUUAAAGCUGCACAAAGGGAAGGGAAGCCUGAGUUCAGUCCUGAGCUGAGUCACACAAGUACCCCAUGAGUUGAAGGAGACUUGGACCUUUGUCUCUGCCCGGAGCAGAAGAAGAAUGUUCUCACUUCUGUAAGGUGCCCUAGCGGAACAGAUACGGUGCUCUGGAGUGAAGAAUUGAGAGAGAGCAGAGAAUUCAGAGGACGGGAUCUGGGAGCAAACCACCAUGCAAAGUUCAUCCAGCCACCAGUACACAGCAGAACCAGCGCCACCAGAAAAACAGAAAGUAUUUGGAGAUGUCUUACUGGGAGGCACCAAAACACCUACUUUUCUGUCCAUGCGGCUUUGCUAUAGAAGCUGGCUUCCUACCGGGAGGCUUGUUUUUGUGGUACCACUGAGAGGUAAGCCAAGCCUGCUGAACUCCACAGAUUACCAUCCAUGCCUACUGUCCACGUAGGCUCCAGUGGGUCAGUAUUAGGGAAUUACUGUGAUCUUCCUUUCUUAAUUACAGGGAAAACGACGUUUAAAAAGUUAUUUGCAAACAUCUCCAUUGGUUGGAGAACUUACCAGUGAAAGGAGCAGAGGUAAUGUGAGGCGACUCAUGCUUAAAGGCUUACUCUGUUGUGGCACCUUUGCUUUUCUGCUCGGAAAUGGCUAGGACAGGAAGGAAAACACUAAGAGGUGACUCUAGGUAUAUAGUUUAUACCUGUGAAAUGUUGCUCUGCCUGGUAGAGUGCCAGAGACACAAUGUCAGAAGGUGCAAGAGGUUCUCUGCGCCAGCAAUCCCCAUUUCUUCCCUCAAGCCGUCCUUUUGGCAGUGCUAGCUCGUGUAAGCUGGUGUGACAGUCCCAAAAAGUGUCAGUGUCACUUGUGUUGAUUUGGUCUACAAGGCCAGGGAAGACUGAGGAUUCCAAGGUGGGACAGUACAUUGCUGUUUUAUGUUUCUUCAGCCGGUGAGAGAGGGCUGAAGAACGCCCAACCUCACUGUAACUCUAGAUCUGACAUGUAAAGACAGGCAAGGACUGUGUUCCUGAGGACCUGUCUCUUCCAGCCCCCACUUCUCCUGGCGCUGAGAGGUACUUUUGCAGCUGUAUGUGAGACGAUGACCUCUGCGGAGCUGCUUACUGCUCUGCUGCGUGCAGUCUGUCUGUUUGCUGGUCAAAUGGAAAACAACAAUAUCUCUGCUCAGUGCAAAAGAACAAUAGACUGGAAACUACUUAAGCUUGCUGUUUUGUCUUAGCCGGGUGCUCUUCUCCCUGUUCCUGUUGCCUGCUGCUCCCUUUGUAACAGCGGCUUUGUAAGGUCUGACAUCCCGCAGCUCAGCGGGGGAAGGGUGUGCACACCUUGAGAAUGAAUAUUGCCUUUUGCUAGUUUUAAAUACAACUGACGGGCUGAAGUGCAUUAGUCAUAUCAACAUAGUUGGAAUGAAUGCAUUAUGCAUGCAUCCUUAAUCAAAUCCUCCCCAAAUAAUUUCUUCUCCUGUCUACGUUCCCUUGUCUACAGAAAUCAUUGAGUCCCUUGCCACUGCUUUUCAUACUAUGUAGUCUGUCUGUAGGCACUUGUUCUUCAAAGCCUUUAAUAUUAGCAUUAGAGUGCUAAGUAAUAAACAGGCAUAUGGAGUUGAAAGGGAAUUCCUCUCUUUUGAGUAUUCACAGACAUCAAUGCAUUCUCCUGUGGAAAAUGUUUAGAUGUUUUUCUGUGAGGCAGAUAAAUUCAUCAUCACUGUAACGUUGUCAAGUGAAGUAAAACUUUUAUUUGGAGAACUUCCUUCCUCUAACUUCUAAUUUAAUCUUCUAUAGCAUCUUCUGUUCGAGAAUCUCAGAGAAGUUCACGUGGCAAUAAUUUUCCAGCACCACUGAAAGGUGGAAAAUAUUGAGCCCUACGCCAUAGAUGAUGGGUGUAAGAUAGAGGAGAAAUAAUUUACCAGGUAUUUAUCAACAAACAGCUGUAAUACGUCAAGACUUAGUGGGUCCUUGGGAAGGGCAGGGGCCUCCUAUUGUCCUCCGUCCAUGCAAAUGUCCAGGGCUCACUUUCUGUUUCAGCACAAUCAGUUUGAAAACACAGGAAAAAAAAUAAUGAAAAUCUUGGCUGUGCUGUGCAUUUUUCAGAUUCUGCAGGACGAGAAAGAUUCCAAGUUGUGUCAUGGCUUGGAGUCUUGAAACAUGCAGCAUACAUAAAGUACAGGGCUGGACUCUAUAGCAAACGAGAGGCUUAGGUGUGAAAGGACAUUAGCAACGAAUACUGUCUCAAUGAAAUUAUUUGGCUACUGCUGAGCAAGACCCAAAACAGUCUUCCUGGUCACUUUCUCUGUGGACAUAUUGCAGGCUGGAAGCAUGGAAGUAAAUGCUGAAAUUCUGGGGAAACGGCCCUGCAAAAUCAUCUGUAAUGAAUUGUCCUCUGAACUACGUUAAAGCCAUCCAUCAUGAAUUUCAGUCAACUUUGACUGCGAUAGCUUGGUCUUGGAUAUUAAAAGAACGUUUCUCUUGAAGUCCCCCAAAUAACUGCGAUAAGUGUUUUCAGUGUGAUUUCAUCCCUGUUGUGAAAUCUGGCAAAGUUACCUUUGCGAGCAGCAGAAAAAAGGAGAGAGUGACAAUUCCUGACGGACAGAGCAGAAGCUUGAAAAAACAGAUUCGGCUUUCUCUCUGUUCUCGCUGGUAGCUGGGGCUGGAGCAAGGAAGAAACCCCGAGUCCCCUUCUUCAUGCUGGUGCACACCAAUCACUACUGUGAGCGGAUUGGUUUCUCAGCCCUGUUGCCUCAUAGCCAAAGUUUGUUCAAAACUGCCCACAAUUUUGUCCAAAAUGUUCAGUUCUGCCUGCCGCAGCGGUCUCCGGCCCAUCCAGGUCACUGAUUCCUGAAAGCCACCACAUUCGUGGCAGAUGAUAAAUCAAAAGUCAGGGCUGGCUGGACUGCUGGAGGAAAAGAUAGUGAUCACCAGGAGUGAGAACUGUUGGCUUCUGACCCUCUUAAAUUUUUUCUUACGAUCAUUCCGUGUUAUGUCUCUUGUCUUGUUUUUCAUCAUUAAAACCCUUGUUGUCUUAGAUGGUGACAAAGAUUUUCAUUUUAAGUUAUAGUUGGGUUAACAAUCUCUCCUUCAAGUCACACGCAGACUAAAACGCCUCUAUAAAGUCUCCCUGGAUAGAUGCUCAGUUUUAGUAAACUUUAGAACUGAAUGUGAACCUCAACAGCAUUUUCUGACUGAAAGAUGUGAAAGAUAAAUCCCUAACCUUUUGUGUUGAUGUGAGAUCCUCUGAGAAAUCCCGGCAUGGAAAGGAAACACUUUAAAACUUUCUUACUCCUAUGCUUGUCUACUUUAUAUAUAAUUUAUAUAAUGUGUAUAAUUUCUGUGAUUCACCAAGGAAUUCAUUUUCAAAAAGCAAAGAUGGAAAUAUUUGCCAGACACUGGAGUGAGCUUUGCUCUAAUGUUAAUGUUGUACAGAACUGAGAAAAAAAAUUAAUGUAAUCAAAUAGAUGAUACCUCUUGCAGCGUUAACUUAUUUGACGAGUAAACAUGGAAUUAAAUUGUCCUGAAAAUGUGGACUCAGAGGAAGAAAAGAAAGUGAAAUCUAAGUUUAAGUUGAUGGUGAGGCUUUGUUUUAAGUUUAACAAACCCUUUUCUAAUUUUUUGGGGGGCUUUCGCCUCCAGAAGCGUGCUUAGAAAGGAAACCUGUAGUACGUAAAUGCGGUGAGACAUGAGUGGCAAUGAGGUGUCAGCAAUAUGUGGAGCUGAUGAGAGUAACGCAUCGGCCAGAUUAGGAAAACAGGUAUUAUCUCAUCAGCUACAAGACUGCUUCAAGCCUUUCCUCCACAUUUUUAUUCUCUAACAUACUAGACUGCAAGCAUUACUAGUGAGCCACAAUACACACUUCUUUUUGAGCUGCUUGAAAGAUAGGUGAUCUGUGAAAUGGUGAUACAGCUGAUAUAACUUGAUUUGGUCUGCAACAGCUGAGUCUGCUGGUGCUUUUUGCAGUACGAUGAUAGCUUAUGCAUAAAUAAAACUGUGUCUCCAUUUGGGAAUAAAUCUGAUGUGCUGGGCAAGAGAAUAAGAGAAAAACAACAACAAUAAUAAUUAUGGCAAUAAUGUAGAAUCUAAUGAAGUAAAGCCUGGGACAGUUUCCUCUGAGGAUAUGUUUUUUCCUCCUCUUAGCUCACUAUAACUCCGUUGAAUAUAAACUGCAUGACUUGAUCAUUUUCUCUUUUACAAUACAACUGAUGGAGCUAUGAACAGCAUUUGUAAUCUUUAAAAGAAUGCAAGUAAAAUAUUGGAUUUUUUUGCUAGACAUAGAACCUCAGAAUCAUAGGGUUGGAAGGGACCUUAAAGAUCAUCCUGUCCCACCCCCUGCCACGGGCAGGGACAUCCCACUGGAUCAGGCUGCCCAAGGCUCCAUCCAACCUGGCCUUGAGCACCUCCAUGGAUGGGGCAGCCAAAACCUCCCUGGGCAACCUGGGCCAGUGCCUCACCGCUCUCGUGGUGAAGAAAUUCUUCCUGAUGUCUAUAUUACCAGAUAAUAAAGUGAGACUGACUUCAGCUGAACUUCAUCUGCACAAAUUUCCUUACUACAGUGGCAAACAGCACCUUUGUAGUCCUUUUGUGCAGCCUGACCUGGCUUCGAAAGACCACAGACUUUCUUUUUCUUCCUAAAUUCCAUAGGAAUUCCUGGUCCCUAGAAAAUAUCCAUAUGGACCAUGUGGUUUUCUUUGUUUAACUGCUUUUCAAGGUCCAGAUUUGAUUGGAAAUUGCAUCUUUAAUCUGAUAACACGGUUUCUAGUCUUGUAAAAGGCAGGGAAUUUGCUUGAGAUUGUUCAAGAACCAAGUGAAGAAUAUUUUGGUUCUAGAAGCACAGUACAGGUUAGAUUUCUGUAGAGCUGACACCAUUGUAUGAUGUCAAGGUACCCUUAUGGCCACAUAAUGCGAACAUUUCCAGCUGAAAAUAAGGCUAUAGUCAAGUCCACUGAAGUGGAUAUCCAUUCUCAGCAUCAUUAUUCCUCCUCCUUUUUGCCUCUUUCGUGCUUCAACUUGUGUCCAGUGACUACUUCAUGCUUUAUUAAAAGUUUUAAAUGUAGAGAAUAAUUACUGUCAUAGUAUUACAGUCCUAUCUGAGAAAGGUUUUAGUCAAUGGUUGCUUAUAAAUGACAGAUCGGGUGACUACACAAGAGCAAAAUUCAGAGAAAACCUCAAAGUCAAUCACCAUAAUCUGUGAAUGUGUCACUGCGUGUUUGGCAGCAGACUGCGUGUGGACAGUGAUUGACAGGUAUACUCAGCUAUAUUAAUCUGGUUGUACGUACUGUGUUCCAAACAGAAACAAGAUGACAAGAACAAAAAUGUGUUCAUCAGAACAGGGACGUGGAAUCAACAUGUCAUUACUACGGCUUUAAAAACCUGAAAAAGUAAUUAAAUACAGAAUUUAAACAAAAAAAACCCCCGUGCGUACGUUGCUGUGUUUUGAUGAUAUUUAAAAUUAAAAAAAGAGUACCUAACCUUCCACCAGUCUCUUUCAAGUACGUUGUUGACCUUUGAGAGCAGAAUUUAAUUUUUGUUUUUAAGGAGAAUAGAGAAUUCAAUUCUGCAUUCAAUUAUUGCCACUGUUUUUAAGUCUAACUCCAUUGUUCGUGCUCUACAGUAUCAGUUUAAUUUAGAAUCCUGAAUGGCAUAAUAGUAUUUAUUCUUGGUCAUUACAGAAGCCCAGAAGCCAUGUGAGAAUUCAAGAGCUCUACUAAAACAACAAAAUGGAAAACAGAAAAACACUGCAAACCGAGCAAAGCAAAAAUACCUCAUUUAAAUAUCUGUUGCACCAUCCAGAUUCACGUGCUUUUAAAAAAUAGAUUAAUCUGAUAUUUCUUCAAAACGUUUGUCUGUGCCUGGGGUGAAAAGUGUCAGAUCAGUUUGGUAAAAUUUGGCAAUUGAAAUGCUGAUAAAAGGAUUUACCUUUUACUGUAUUAACAAGUAUUUUUAUGCAAUUUUAUGUUCAAAAUUUGUGAAGAUACUUCAAAUUUCCUUCCCUGACGCAGCAGAUGCCUUUCUAAAUCACUUUUCUUCAUGUAAACCCAUCUCUGUUUAGCAUGAACACACUUCCAUUGCUAAAGGAAACUAAUAGUAGCAGGCGGCAAGUACUGUUUAUAUUGUGCUGUCUUAUUAUUUGUAAUUAGGAUAUGAAACGUUGUAAAAUAAUACAUUUUUUGCUUCUAUUCAUAUUGUCUCAGUGCUUCUGCAAAACUACUGGCCUGCAUUAUUGCUGGUUGCAGAGCCCGACCAAACAGUAAGGCCAAAGCCAGGACACUUGCUCUUGUCAAGGCAAGACAGACAAGACGUUACGAUGCCCAAAGUCUUCGCCGAUUGUGGAGUCAAUUACAGUGCUCUUCCUCCCACCACGGCAAUCAUAAGAAGCAGCUUUCCUUCUUACAUAAUUUGUUGCUAUGCUGGCAGUGAUUUCCCCUUUUGUUUCUUAGUCUGGCUGUUAUUUUCAGCAAAACAAGGUCUUUCUAUUCUUCAGACAAUCAUUCCUAAAGUCUGACAAGAUACAACGAGAAAUAACAUCUCCUCACUAAGUGACACUGUUUCUUACGUGAGGUGUUCGCUGAAUGUAGAGGAGCAGUCUGGGAUCUGCACCACAGACCAUUAACCUGAGUGCAACUGAGGCAGAGAAGAGCAUUCUAGCUCUCCACACAGUAUUUCUUAAGUGACAGAAAAUUAUAGGGACUUUAAAGCUGUGUUACUGAAAUAGAGUCCCUGAUGCUUUGGCUGCUUCUUAUCUUUCUCAAGGAGCAUCACGAAAACCUUCCAUAUUUUCUGUUAGGCUGUACAGUGAUUACAUUUUUAAAGAUAAAUAAAUAAGUAAAAUAUGUUCAGCUCUAAAAAAAUUUUCCUUUUAUUCAGCCCAUAAGUUGAACGAAAAAAAAGUGUGUGAAACAGAUUGCGUGACUGUCAAUAUUAGUAAUACUUGAGUAAGAGAAAUUAGAUCCCAUUACUCAUCUGUACCAUCUUCUCUGUUUUUCUUAAAAGCCCAAAGACUACAGAUUUCUUUGCACUUCCUAGUUGCAGGAAUAAAAAGUGAUGCAUUUUAAGAUGUUCUGGGACAUUAUUCUUUACCUAAUGCAGAUGUUUCUGUAUAGGUGUUAAGCAGCCCAAAUCUCUGACUCUUGUGCCCUAGAGCUCAGCAUUUACAUAGAUCUAUAUGGAAGAAGCGCUACAGACUGGGGGAAGAGUGGCCGGAGAGCUGCACGGAAGAGAAGGACCUGGGGGUGCUGGUUGACAGCCGACUGAACAUGAGCCAGCAGUGUGCCCAGGGGGCCAAGAAGGCCAAUGGCAUCUUGGCUUGGAUCAGAAAUGGGGUCACCAGCAGGGCCAGGGAGGGGAUUCUCCCUCUGUACUCGGCACUGGUGAGACCGCACCUUGAAUACUGUGUUCAGUUCUGGACCCCUCACCACAAGAAGGAUGUUGAGGCUCUGGAGUGUGUCCAGAGAAGAGCAACGAAGCUGGUGAGGGGCUGGAGAACAAGUCUGACGAGGAGCGGCUGAGAAGAGGACGGAGCUGGGCUCUUCUCCCAAGUGACAGGGGACAGGACAAGAGGGAAUGGCCUCGAGCUCCACCAGGGGAGGGCCAGGCUGGAUAUCAGAAAAAAAUUCUUCACAGAAAGAGUCAUUGGGUACUGGAACAGCUGCCCAGGGAGGGGGUCGAGUCGCCUUCCCUGGAGGUGUUUAAGGAACGGGUGGAUGAAGUGCUGAGGGACAUGGUUUAGGGAGUGUUAGGAAUGGUUGGACUCGAUGAUCCAAUGGGUCCUUUCCAACCUGGUGAUUCUGUGAUUCUGUGAUUCUGUGAUUAUUAUUAAUGCUUUUAUCUAUGCACAUAGCAGAUUUAUAGAACAAAUGUGUUAAAGAUUAGAGUAUUAUGUGGUGUGGAUCUGAAGCCUGACUUACGCAGAUAAGUGAUCCAACGUAAGGACGCAUGUUGUCUCCAUUUCCGCGGUUUGCAGAAUGCAGAUUUAUAAAUGAAAAAGUUUGGAUCAUUUCAGCUCCAAAGGAAUCUUCUCAAAGCUAUACAUCUGAAGCUUUUUUUUUUCCAAUUAAGAUUGGAUAGAAUUCCAGCAGCUAUUGUUCAGAAGUUUUGCUCUACUUCUUGUUUGAUUUAAGUGCAUGAACUCACUGCAGCGAAUGGAGAGCUUCCUAGAAGUUUUCUUACCUGAGUCAAACAGUAUGUUGUAUUUCAUGAAGCCCAGUUUUUCGUAGCCCAUCCUGUAGCCAACAGAACAUCUUGCUGUUUCCAAAACACACGUAGAGACAUUCUCUUGGACCGCUAGAGACCAAGCACGGAGGUUUUGAUCGCAUGCAGCUUUCUCUCCGCUGAAUAAUAAGUUUCACAGAAUUUCAUAGGAAUUUACUGCAGAGUUAUCUACUGCAAAGCAGGAUCUACUUUAGUAAUUCUGCAGAUCUUCUAAAACAAAUUCAUAAAGAAUUUCCCUGUUUUCUUCCAGGCAAUGGUUUGAUAAUAAGUACAAAAGGUGAAACUUUUGAUAUGAAAGGCUGAGUUGGUUUACGCGACCUGGAAAUAAAUUUUUCCAAGCAGCUCUCUGUACCAUUUGCACGUGAUGUUGAUACUCCACUGUGUCUGGUGGACUGUGUGGUCUGUUCUUCUCUUAUGAAGAGCCCAAACAUUUGUGGUUGUGAAGAUGGUUGCUUUCUUCCUUGCUUUCCCAUUUCCACUCUCCCCCUCCCCAAAACACUGAGGAGAGAAGGAUCCUCUGUGACCGCCUUCCACAGCCCACAGCGCCUGUCAGAGAAGCAGCAACGGAGGAGCCGUACUGGGACUGCAGUCAAGGAGUGAAGGUUUUCUAAGUGUUGAGGUUGGGAUGGCAAAGUAAACGUCAUGACUGAACACACCAAAUUACUGUCUUCCUCUCCUGUGAUGUACUGUUCAAAGGCAGAAAACACAUCUUGCUCCUCGCAUCUUUCUUUAAAAAUCACUUAAUGGGUAAUCCCUUACAGCAACACUUUGAA